AGCAGCAGCCACGGUAAUACGUAGGUGGCAAGCGUUGUCCGGAAUUAUUGGGCGUAAAGCGCGCGCAGGCGGAUAGGUCAGUCUGUCUUAAAAGUUCGGGGCUUAACCCCGUGAUGGGAUGGAAACUGCCAAUCUAGAGUAUCGGAGAGGAAAGUGGAAUUCCUAGUGUAGCGGUGAAAUGCGUAGAUAUUAGGAAGAACACCAGUGGCGAAGGCGACUUUCUGGACGAAAACUGACGCUGAGGCGCGAAAGUCAGGGGAGCGAACGGGAUUAGAUACCCGAGUAGUCCCUGUCUCUUAUACA
Molecule: ribosomal RNA, 303 nt
Filed under: uncultured bacterium
Lineage: Bacteria
Description: partial 16S ribosomal RNA
Rfam family: Bacterial small subunit ribosomal RNA
Source: RNAcentral